ACCCGCUGAACUUAAGCAUAUCAAUAAGCGGAGGAAAAGAAACCAACAGGGAUUACCUUAGUAACGGCGAGUGAAGCGGUAACUGCUCAAAUUUGAAAGCUGCCAACAGGCCGCGUUGUAAUUUGUAGAAGAUGCUUUGGGUGUCGGCCCAGUCUAAGUUCCUUGGAACAGGACGUCAUAGAGGGUGAGAAUCCCGUAUGUGAUUGGUGCCGUCCCCCGUGUAAAGCUCUUUCGACGAGUCGAGUUGUUUGGGAAUGCAGCUCAAAAUGGGUGGUAAAUUUCAUCUAAAGCUAAAUAUUGGCCAGAGACCGAUAGCGCACAAGUAGAGUGAUCGAAAGAUGAAAAGCACUUUGGAAAGAGAGUUAAACAGUACGUGAAAUUGUUGAAAGGGAAGCGCUUGCAAUCAGACUUGCAGGCGGUUGAUCAUCCGGGGUUCUCCCCGGUGCACUCGAUCGUCUUCAGGCCAGCAUCGGUUUCAGUGGUGGGAUAAAGGCUGUGAGAAUGUGGCUCUUCGGAGUGUUAUAGCUCACGGUGCAAUGCCGCCUACUGGGACCGAGGACCGCGCUUCGGCUAGGAUGCUGGCGUAAUGGUUGUAAGCGACCCGUCUUGAAACACGGACCAAGGAGUCUAACAUCUAUGCGAGUGUUUGGGUGUCAAACCCAUACGCGUAAUGAAAGUGAACGGAGGUGAGACCCCAUUAGGGCGCAUCAUCGACCGAUCCUGAUGUCUUCGGAUGGAUUUGAGUAAGAGCAUAGCUGUUGGGACCCGAAAGAUGGUGAACUAUGCGUGAAUAGGGUGAAGCCAGAGGAAACUCUGGUGGAGGCUCGCAGCGGUUCUGACGUGCAAAUCGAUCGUCAAAUUUGCGUAUAGGGGCGAAAGACUAAUCG
Molecule: ribosomal RNA, 887 nt
Filed under: Mollisia sp.
Lineage: Eukaryota; Fungi; Ascomycota; Leotiomycetes; Helotiales; Mollisiaceae
Description: partial large subunit ribosomal RNA
Rfam family: Eukaryotic large subunit ribosomal RNA
Source: RNAcentral